AUAAGAUCGAAGCCACCUUGUGAAGCCCAGAAAACACAUCCAGGAGGUACUCACGAAGUAUGUAAAACCGAAAGCGGACAGGGGGGUAUUAUUCCAUAUAUAUACGGGUGUUAUUUUUAUGGGUACAGAAGGAGGCAGCCGAGGGGUGCUUUCCGUGGCGAGAUACUCCCCCGGUGCCGCAUCCCCCGAGCCCAUCCCCGCACACGGCAGUGCGCUGGGUGCCGAUCCGUGCACACUGCCGGCCCCCCCCGCGCUGCUCCCGCUCCCCGCACCCCGCCACCAGGGCGCCGGAUCUGGCCCCGAGGGGACCGGCGGCGCCCGGCGGCUGAGCGAGCGCAGCCGGGAGGGGGCCGGCACCGGGACCGGGGCCGUGUUUGGGGCCGGGGCCGUGUUUUGGGGCCGGGGGCGGUGCCGUGCCUGACGCGGCGGCGGGGCGGAGCGGGGGCCGUACAAACGGGCUGGCGCCGGGCGCUGCUCGCAGGAGGAGCGGAGCGGAGCGGGCGGCAGCGGGCGCUCGUUACACCGCCCGCCCCGCCGGCACCGGGAGCGCUUCCCACGGCUCCGCCACCGUCUCCUCCGCCGGUACCGGCACCCACGGGCGCCCAUGGCACGGCGCGGAGGGCUCUGCCCCACGGCUCCGCGCCCCCGCGGUAUCUUCUGCAUGGACAGGAAGAAUCAGUCAAAGCCAGAUUUUGCCAGUGGUUUUUUCGUAGACUACUGCAAAAAACAAGGUGUUUUGGAGGGAUCAGGGAAUGCUGUCGGCUGAUGGUCAAGUAGAGGGAGCACCAGUGAGUGUCCUUGCUUUGUUCUGCUCCUGGGAUCAGGAUACCAAUGGAGUUCACUUUGUCUGUGGUAUAUAAACAAAUACUAAUAUUGAUAUGAACCUGGUUACUGAAUAUUUGUAAUAUGCUUGCGUAAUUAUAGAUAGAAGUGUAUAAAAUGGAGCCUUGACAAUACUCCUAGUCAGAUGCAUUGCUGUUUUGUAUCAUUUGUUUGAAUAUGUUUUAUUGCUCUAGAAGAACUAAUUACUGAAAUAUUUUGUCAUUCUAUAUUAUUAAAUGCAGAAGGGCUGAAAAGAACUGGAUGGUGGGCUAAAGGAUACUGAGGAAGCCACCAAAUUUUAACUUUGCUUCUGAUGAAACAAGAAUGACAGUAGUUUGGAGGCAAAUGUAUAGAAAUCUAUUUGUUUCUUAAUGUAAUUCAGAACAAUGCCUACAGGUGAAUACUACAGGACAUGCAGAAUAUGAUUAAGAAAGAACAGGUGUCACUAAGUUGACUGGUUACGUUGACCUUGAUAAAGUGAUUAAACCGUGCAUCAUUAUGCUCCACAGCAAACUUUUGUUUAGUUCAAAACAGAGUUUGAAAAAGCACUAGGAAAAUGUUCAAAAUGCCAAAGGAGUAGUGAGAUCUGAGCAUGACUGAAUGUUACUUUUAAGCCUAUAUUCUUCCUUUGAUGCAGGCUUACAAAUCCAAUUAACAUUAAUGAGAAAUGUGUUGUGCCCAUAUGCAAACGAUGAGCUGAGAACCCCUACUGCCCCCUCCUAGAUUUUUUUGUAUGUUUCAAAUAUUGAACGGUUACAUUGAAAGCAUAUUCUGACUUGAAAAUUUUCAGUUUUGUGUUUAUUCUGCCCUAAUAAAAAUGGAUAGUGACAAAAUGUAAUUGCUUCA
RNAcentral lists this long non-coding RNA (1668 nucleotides) under Anas platyrhynchos platyrhynchos (common mallard). RNAcentral's name for it is "lncRNA (ENSAPLG00000021963.1)". Lineage: Eukaryota; Metazoa; Chordata; Aves; Anseriformes; Anatidae. The record is from RNAcentral.